GCUCACUUCAACAGAGCAUAUACCACAAUUAGAAUGAUACAGAGAAGAUUAGCAUGGAGCCAGCCCAAGGAUGUCAAGCAAAUGUGUGAAGUUUUCCACUUGUUU
This is a small nuclear RNA of Mesocricetus auratus (golden hamster), 105 nucleotides long. NCBI's taxonomy places the organism in Eukaryota, Metazoa, Chordata, Mammalia, Rodentia, Cricetidae. The record is from Ensembl.